GACGAACGCUGGCGGCGUGCUUAACACAUGCAAGUCGAACGGAAAGGCCCUGCUUUUGUGGGGUGCUCGAGUGGCGAACGGGUGAGUAACACGUGAGUAACCUGCCCUUUACUUUGGGAUAACUUCCGGAAACGGGGGCUAAUACCGGAUAUUCGCUCCUGCUGCAUGGUGGGGGUGGGAAAGUUUCGGUGGUUGGGGAUGGUCUCGCGGCUUAUCAGCUUGUUGGUGGGGUAGUGGUUUACGACGGCUUCGACGGGUAGUCGGCCUGAGAGGGUGACCGGCGACAUUGGGCCUGGGAUACGGCGCAGGGUCGUACGGGGGGCAGCAGUGGGGAAUGUGGAAGAAUGGGCGGGAGCCUGAGGCAGCGACGCCGCGUGCGGGAGGACGGCAUUCGGGUUGUAACCCGCUUUCGCCUGUGACGAGGCGUGAGUGACGGUAAUGGGUAAAGAAGCACCGGCUAACUACGUG
RNAcentral lists this ribosomal RNA (468 nucleotides) under uncultured bacterium. RNAcentral describes it as "partial 16S ribosomal RNA". It matches the Rfam family "Bacterial small subunit ribosomal RNA", at positions 28 to 507 of the family's 1533-position model. The record is from RNAcentral.